Molecule: ribosomal RNA, 253 nt
Filed under: uncultured bacterium
Lineage: Bacteria
Description: partial 16S ribosomal RNA
Rfam family: Bacterial small subunit ribosomal RNA
Source: RNAcentral
GACGAGGGGUCCUAGCGUUGUUCGGAAUCACUGGGCGUAAAGCGUUCGUAGGCGGCUCUCUAAGUCGGGUGUGAAAUCCCACGGCUCAACCGUGGAAGUGCAUUCGAAACUGCAGAGCUUGAAUAUGGUAGAGGGUAGUAGAAUUCCUGGUGUAGUGGUGAAAUACGUAGAUAUCAGGAGGAAUACCAGUGGCGAAGGCGAUCAUCUGGGACUAACCUGACGCUGAGGAGCGAAAGCCAGGGGAGCAAACGGG